This 460-nucleotide ribosomal RNA is filed under the name uncultured bacterium. Its description in RNAcentral is "partial 16S ribosomal RNA". It matches the Rfam family "Bacterial small subunit ribosomal RNA", at positions 338 to 795 of the family's 1533-position model. The record is from RNAcentral.
CCUACGGGUGGCAGCAGUGAGGAAUAUUGGUCAAUGGGCGCGAGCCUGAACCAGCCAAGUAGCGUGAAGGAUGACUGCCCUACGGUUUUUAAACUUCUUUUACAAAGGAGUAAAAUGAGGCACGUGUGCCUUUUUGUGUGUACUUUAUGAAUAAGCAUCGGCUAACUCCGUUCCAGCAGCCGCGGUAAUACGGAGGAUCCGAGCGUUAUCCGGAUUUAUUGGGUUUAAAGGGGGCGUAGAUGGGUUGUUAAGUCAGUUGUGAAAGUUUGUGGCUCAACCGUAAAAUUGCAAUUGAUACUGGCAGGCUUGAGUGCAGUUGAGGUAGGCGGAAUUCGUGGUGUAGCGGUGAAAUGCUUAGAUAUCACGAAGAACUCCGAUUGCGAAGGCAGCUUACUAAACUGCAACUGACAUUGAUGCUCGAAAGUGUGGGUAUCAAACAGGAUUAGAUACCCUAGUAGUC